AUGUAUGGUAAUGAAGAUGACAAACUGUUUUGUUUAACUGUAGCAAUUGAUUUAUUAAAAGAAAAAUGUCAUGGCAUGAAUUUGUAUUUUUUUACAAAAUGACAUAAAUUUGAGUAAUUGGAGUUUUCUAGAACAAUUUGUUUUGCAAAAUAAAUUAAAUUUUGAAUUUUAUAUGUUUAUUAAUAAUAUUUUAAAAAUAAAUAGCUCUAAAGAUAUUAAAGAAAAAAUGAAAAAAAAAUAUGAACAAGAAAUAUAUCAAAUAAAAGAAAUAACAGGAUGUAAUAAUAAUAAUUUAAUUUUUAAAAAUUUACGAAAAAAAUAAUUUUGAUGUAUCUAAUACUGUGGAAACAAUUUUAAAUAUGAAUAACAAUAAACUUCAUAGUAGUAUAGAAGAUAAAAAAAAUACGCUCAUUUUUUCUUCACAUAGUUUGGCUAGUAGUUCCAGUGGUAGUGAUGUUAUUGGUAGUGAUAGUAGUGUUAGUGUUAGUGUUAGUGUUAGUGGUAGUGGUGUUGAUAAUCCGGAUUCUGCUUUUUCAAAAAAUAACUUAUCAUCAUCUUCAUUAUCAUUUGUAACAGAAAUAGGAGGAACAAAAAAAAAUAUUUUAGAAAUAUUAAGAGAACGAGAGAGAAAAAGUAAAGCUCAAAAAAAAAGAAAAAAUAAAUAUGAGUAUACUACUAAUCGUUUAUUGGAUGAUGAAAACAAAAAUAAAAUUUUGAAUCAACUUAAUUGUUCAAGUGACUCAGAAGAAUCAUUAUUAGAUAUAUCAAUAAAUAUAAAUCAAAACAAUAUUAUUACCCCAACUUCAUAUAGACAAAACUAUAACUAUGGGGAUAAAUCUAGUAGUUCUCAAAAUGAAAAUAAACAAACUGAUACAUACAAAGGAAAACAAAAUAAACAGAAUUAUAGAUAUAACAGAGAAACAAGUUAUUAUAAACCUAACGUUUCUGCACAACAACAAAACAUUAUUACAAGAAAUGACAAUGGAAAUGCUCGAUCAAAUUAUACUCAUAAAGGUAUACGAAAUUAUAGUAAUACUGGAACACAACAAUACAGUCGUACUGAUAAAAAUAAUUACAGUCGUACUGAUCAAUCAAAUUAUAAGUCAAGAGUAAGGGAAAUGCCCAAAGCAGAAGGGAAGGAGAUACUACGAACAAAAACACUCAUUCGACGAAAGAAAAAACGAAAAGAAGUUAUAAGAAAAAAAACAGUGAACAAAGGAAAAUACAAUCAAAAACAGUAUGAUAAAAAAAUGGGUAGAGGUAUGUUUUAAAAUAAUAAUAAUAAUAAUAAUAAUAAUAAUUAAAAAAAAAAUGUCUGUAAAUAUCUAGUCAAUUUUUUAUUAAUUUGUUUAUAAAAAAUUGAGAAAACUAUUCACAGAUUUUAAUUUUGCAUUAUAUGUUAUUCCCUUUUAUUUUAAAAAAUAAAAAUAUAUGGGUCUAAACUAAUAAUGCUUAU
Molecule: long non-coding RNA, 1456 nt
Filed under: Piliocolobus tephrosceles (Ugandan red Colobus)
Lineage: Eukaryota; Metazoa; Chordata; Mammalia; Primates; Cercopithecidae
Description: lncRNA (ENSPTEG00000026309.1)
Source: RNAcentral